CUGAUGAAAUAGUACACAGCUAUUACGGGAGUAGGAAGGUGAUGGCUAUCGAGAGGUAUAACAUACUCAUUCAAUUACUACAAAAUUGAUCCCAAAAUAAUUCAAGAGAAAAUACCAUAAAAGUCCAAUUGAGGUACAAAAUUGCAUGGCUGUGCAUACAGCUAAGAAAAAUGAGUGAUGGGAAGUGCAUAUAUGCAUACCAAGAGAGGUGCUAAGGCCACCAAUAAGGGACAGAGCGAGAGCAACAACAACUUUGGGAUCCAUGUGUAUAUCUGUUGAUUGAUGGAUUUAUCUCUCCCUGUAUAUGUGAGCUUUGGCGUCUACAGCAACUAUGGGAGGAAAAUGAAUGUAUGCUGUUACUAGAAGAACCAGUAGUACUAAUGAUAGUGAGGAUGGACGGAUGUGAAAGGUAAAGUAAUAACUUCUGUUGUGGUGAUGGAGAUGGAUGCACCAUUAUAAACAAGCGAGGCUGGGUGGCUAUGACGUUACAUAGUUAUGGAUCUUGUUUUAUAGUUGAUCAUGUAUAUUAACGGCUAAUCAGUUGAUUUUAAUAUGAAAAGUAGAGAGGGGGGUGAUCAAGUGGAGCAUGGGAUAACUACUGGGUGAUGCAUUAGUUCAGCUAAGUUGAGCGGGGCACGUUUGGAAUGACUUGGCACAUGCUUGCUUGCUAACUUAUGUAAUUCGUGGGUAUCCUCAUAGUUAAGCUAUGUUUCACUUGAGGUAUGCCUGCAGGUAAGGUAAUUUCUGCUAGCUUUCUUGUAAAGAUGGGAAGGUAUGUAGCUAGGGCUGAGUUUGGGAACUCCAAGCCUCUUUUAGUAAAUAGUAGAGAGAUAUUUAUUUAAUUCCUGAAAAAUUGUGUGAAGUGAGAGUUACUAGUAGUGCCUGCAGGUGAUAUAUGGCAUAAGUAACCCAACAGGUGACAAGUAACCCCCGUUAUUCUUGUAAUGUAUUAUGCUCUUCCAAUGCAAUUUGUUGCUUCAUCUUGGGCCCCCUGUGUACUCAUCCUUGGUAGAAAAACAGAGCUUACAAACUUGGGAGUUCAAAAUAGCCAAAAAAAAACUUAGCUAGCUAGGUGAAAGUAAUGCUUAAUUAAUAUUUUUUGUGUAUUGUCCUCUUGCAAAGUUGAUGUGCACAGGCAACUGCAUCAGAUCUAUAACAUACCCUACCAUAUUACAGUGAAACGGAGGAGAUCUCAGGGAAUGGCUGAAGUUGCAUUGGACCAAUCUUGGUCCGACAAGCCUCCAAGACAAACUUGGAUUCAAUUUCGUUCUGGCAGAUCGGUAAGGUGACAGAUAUACUGUAUUUGUCUUUUAUGUGCCGCUUGCGUUAUGGUAUGAUUGAACAGAAUAAUUCGUGUCACAAAUCGAUGUUUAAUCCUGCAGGUAUGAAUGCCAUCCUCGCAAGCAUUGCGCAAGUUGAUAGUGGUGAUAUUCUUGAAAAGAAAAAAUCGAUAGUGGUAAUGAGAAAAGCACAGGAGGAGGACAAGAGGACAAGUGAGGCGGCAAGCUAAGAAGACGGUGGCUUGGCGUGCUUGGCGUAAUCUAACUUGAUUACCAGGCAGAGGCAGACAAACAGUGAGUGCAUCAUAGUAUACAUGAGCUCUAUAUAUAUAUACUUAAUUUGCAGCCAUUUUUUUCCUUCUUGUGCGUGCCUUUAUUUAUGUCUGCUUUGGUCAGCAGCUGGAUUCUAGCUCGAUGGAAGAUGUUCCUGCCACAUGUGCAUGCAUUCAUGCUGGCUUAAGGAAAUUAUUCAGGGAGACAUGAUGCCCAAGCAAGAAGAUCGAGGGCAGGGCUGCUCCAGAUGAGAUCAUCAGCCGCAGCUACACCUCUACCUCUGCUUCUUGUUUUCCUCUACCUGUAGGCUGUAGCAACAACAAGUUUUCCUCUACCCCUCUGCUUCUUGUUUAGCAACAACAAUAGUACUACUGCUCUGCUUCCUGUGUGUCAUCUGCAUCAAUGAUCUGUGAUGAUCUAUUGGAUGUAUCUCAGUAUCUGUGCUUAUAGCUUUCCACCAUCGAAUCGAACAUGCACGACUCAUUUUCUGGUAUUUCUCAGUCAAAUUUCUUUAAAUUUGAUCAAAUUUAUAAAAGAAAAACAUAGCAAUAUUUUCAGUACAAAACAAACAUACUAUGAGAAUGUAUUAUAUUUAUUUGAUGUUAGAUUUAAUAAAAUUAAUAUGAUAUUGUAGAUGUAUUAGUACUAUGCAAUUUUAGUUUGUUUUCUACAGAGUAUUAAUAUUUUCAUUUAGAGAGUAGCCCACGUGGUUGUCAAGGUCGCAUAUCUUACGCUUCGUGUAAUUAAUUAACUGCUGAUAACAUCAAACAAAAUUGAACGGAGCUUUCUUUUCUACUCCAUUUUCCCUCCCUGUUUCAUACCGUAAGACGCUCUUUUAGUAUGAGUAAGUUUAUAGAAGAUUAGACAAGAUGCCUAUUGAUAUAGCUUCAUAAGCAUGCAUAUUAAUGGGUGGU
This 2467-nucleotide long non-coding RNA is filed under the name Oryza sativa (Asian cultivated rice). RNAcentral's name for it is "long non-coding RNA (OSAT_LNC001432)". Lineage: Eukaryota; Viridiplantae; Streptophyta; Magnoliopsida; Poales; Poaceae. The record is from RNAcentral.